AGCUCCAAUAGCGUAUAUUAAAGUUGUUGCAGUUAAAAAGCUCGUAGUUGUAUCUCUGGCUAGAGUGAUUGGUCUUUCACAUGGUGUUAGAACCUAAAUCUUUAUCUAGUCAUCCUUGAGGAGAGCCCACAUGGCAUUAAGUUGUUGUGUGGGGGAUCCUCAUCAUUUACUGUGAAGAAAUUAGAGUGUUCAAAGCAGGCUUAGGCCGUUGUAUACAUUAGCAUGGAAUAAUAAGAUAGGAUCUCAGUACUAUUUUGUUGGUUUGCGCAUUGAGAUAAUGAUUAAUAGGGACUGUUGGGGGUAUUUGUAUUCCAUUGUCAGAGGUGAAAUUCUUGGAUUUCUGGAAGACAAACUACUGCGAAAGCAUUUACCAAGGAUGUUUUCU
RNAcentral lists this ribosomal RNA (385 nucleotides) under uncultured eukaryote. Its description in RNAcentral is "SSU rRNA". It matches the Rfam family "Eukaryotic small subunit ribosomal RNA", at positions 587 to 972 of the family's 1831-position model. The record is from RNAcentral.